AAAAUUCGCGAUAGCGGUCCUCGGCAUUGCCGCGCACGGCAUGCUGCAGCGACGCGA
RNAcentral lists this small RNA (57 nucleotides) under Sinorhizobium meliloti 2011. Its description in RNAcentral is "putative ncRNA". The record is from RNAcentral. Lineage: Bacteria; Pseudomonadati; Pseudomonadota; Alphaproteobacteria; Hyphomicrobiales; Rhizobiaceae.